RNAcentral lists this ribosomal RNA (254 nucleotides) under uncultured bacterium. RNAcentral describes it as "partial 16S ribosomal RNA". It matches the Rfam family "Bacterial small subunit ribosomal RNA", at positions 524 to 777 of the family's 1533-position model. The record is from RNAcentral.
UACGAAGGGUGCAAACGUUGCUCGGAAUUAUUGGGCGUAAAGCGCACGUAGGCGGCUUGGCAAGUCGGAUGUGAAAGCCCACGGCUCAACCAUGGAAGUGCAUCCGAAACUGCUGAGCUUGAGUACUUAAGAGGAUCGCGGAAUUCCCGGUGUAGAGGUGAAAUUCGUAGAUAUCGGGAGGAACACCGGUGGCGAAGGCGGCGACCUGGGUAGAUACUGACGCUGAGGUGCGAAAGCGUGGGGAGCAAACAGGG